AGGAGGCUUUUUCACCUCAAAAACGUCAGAAAACUACAAGACUUCCCACUUCUUUUACUCACCUUCACAGAAAGGAUUUGGAAGGAAAAAAAAAGGAGAGAAAAGAAAGAAAAGGAAGAAAGAAAAGGAAGAGGAAAGAAGGUAUGCAGAACAAACCUAACACAAGGCUCAGGGGAUUCUCACAGAGAAGGCGAGAAGCGAAAAAGACAAGGAAAAAAACCAGGAAUAACCCCCCCAAGCCGCAGAAGCAGGGCAGAACUGCCUGAUGGUGAGAAGCCACCGCUGUGCCUGCGGUGUGUGGUGCCACGCACCGGUUACAUAUUUGGCACCGGGCGACAAAACCCUGCCCUGUUGACAAGAUUUGCAGCCAGAGCCCCCCCCCGCCAGCCGCCGGUGGGAGCCCGCAGCGGCCCCCUUCCCCCACAGCGGGCACACCCCAGCGCUCACCGAACAUUUCCGUCAAAAAAACACAAAAAACAGACAUUUCCCAAACCGCCAGCCGCCCCCCACCCCCCUCAGGGCGGAAGGGCACGGCUGAGGCGGAGAAGCCGGGUUCCUGAGGGGACCGAGCGGGUACCGGCGGCCUCCCGUAGCCCCCCACCCCCUCCCCUCCUCACUUUCUGUAUCCGCUUCAGCGCCAUGAGGGGACCGGGGCGGCGGCGGCGGCAACGGCUGAGGCGGGGGGGGGGGCGCGGGCGGGGGGGGGGGGGGGGGGGACGGGCACGGGGGGGGGCGGGGGGGGGGGGGGGGGGGGGGGUGGGGGGGGAACCGGGCUCUUUGUGUCCGCCACCGCGGGACGCGCUGGGAAAUGGAGUCCUGGAGGGGGGGUGCCCUCUGGUGGUCCUGAGUGGGGAGCCCGGAGAUGUGAAGUGGUAUCUGAGGAAGAGGGGGCUCAGGGGGGAUCUUAUUGCUCUCUGCAACUCCCUGAAGGGAAGCUGUGGGGAGCUGGGGGUCGGUCUCUUCUCUCAGAUAACUAGUGAUAGGACUAGAGGGAAUGGCCUCAAGCUGCACCCCAGGAGGUUUAAGCUAGAAAUAAGAAGACAUUUCUUCUCAGAAAGAGCAGUCAGGCAUUGGAACAGGUCGCCCAGGGAGGUGGUGGCAUCACCGUCCCUAUGGGUGUUCAAGGAAAGGUUGGAUGUGAAGCUUAGGUACACGACUUAA
RNAcentral lists this long non-coding RNA (1161 nucleotides) under Anas platyrhynchos platyrhynchos (common mallard). RNAcentral's name for it is "lncRNA (ENSAPLG00000029397.1)". The record is from RNAcentral. Lineage: Eukaryota; Metazoa; Chordata; Aves; Anseriformes; Anatidae.